UACGUAGGGGGCGAGCGUUGUCCGGAAUUAUUGGGCGUAAAGGGCUCGUAGGCGGUCUGUCGCGUCGGGAGUGAAAACUCAGGGCUUAACCCUGAGCCUGCUUCCGAUACGGGCAGACUAGAGGUAUGCAGGGGAGAACGGAAUUCCUGGUGUAGCGGUGGAAUGCGCAGAUAUCAGGAGGAACACCGGUGGCGAAGGCGGUUCUCUGGGCAUUGCCUGACGCUGAGGAGCGAAAGUGUGGGGAGCGAACAGG
Molecule: ribosomal RNA, 253 nt
Filed under: uncultured bacterium
Lineage: Bacteria
Description: partial 16S ribosomal RNA
Rfam family: Bacterial small subunit ribosomal RNA
Source: RNAcentral